GCCUGCCCCGUAGACUAACAAGUUCAACGGCCAGCGGUAUUCUGACCGUGCGAAGGUAGCGUAAUCACCUGUCUUUUAAAUGAAGACCUGUAUGAAAGGCACCACGAGGGCUCAACUGUCUCCUACCCCCAGUCAAUGAAAUUGAUCUGCCCGUGCAGAAGCGGACAUAAAAACAUAAGACGAGAAGACCCUGUGGAGCUUAAGGCACAAGGCCAACCACGCCAAGCACCACCCAAAAGACACAAGCACAACAGCCACUGGCCCCACAUGCCUUCGGUUGGGGCGACCGCGGAGAAAAACAAAACCUCCACGUGGACCAAGGACACAGUCCUCAAAACCAAGAGACACAACUCCAAGCAGCAGAAAAUCUGACCAAAAAGACCCAGGCCCAAACACGCCUGAUCAACGAACCAAGUUACCCCAGGGAUAACAGCGCAAUCCUUUCCAAGAGUCCAUAUCGACGAAAGGGUUUACGACCUCGAUGUUGGAUCAGGACAUCCUAAUGGUGCAGCCGCUAUUAAGGGUUCGUUUGUUCAACGAUUAAAGUCCUACGUGAUCUG
Molecule: ribosomal RNA, 560 nt
Filed under: Megalops cyprinoides (Indo-Pacific tarpon)
Lineage: Eukaryota; Metazoa; Chordata; Actinopteri; Elopiformes; Megalopidae
Description: partial large subunit ribosomal RNA
Rfam family: Bacterial large subunit ribosomal RNA
Source: RNAcentral